GAUGAACGCUAGCGGGAGGCCUAAUACAUGCAAGUCGAGCGGUAGAGUGACUUCGGUUGCUUGAGAGCGGCGAACGGGUGAGUAACGCGUACACAAUCUACCUUUAAGAGGGGAAUAGCCCUGGGAAACUGGGAUUAAUGCCCCAUGGCAUCACGAGACGGCAUCGUUUUGUGAUUAAAGCUGAGGUGCUUAGAGAUGAGUGUGCGUCUGAUUAGCUAGUUGGUGCGGUAACGGCGCACCAAGGCGACGAUCAGUAGGGGGCGUGAGAGCGUGGACCCCCACACGGGUACUGAGACACGGACCCGACUCCUACGGGAGGCAGCAGUAAGGAAUAUUGGUCAAU
This 343-nucleotide ribosomal RNA is filed under the name uncultured bacterium. Its description in RNAcentral is "bacterial SSU rRNA". It matches the Rfam family "Bacterial small subunit ribosomal RNA", at positions 28 to 372 of the family's 1533-position model. The record is from RNAcentral.